UAAGGAAUAUUGGACAAUGGUCGCAAGACUGAUCCAGCCAUGCCGCGUGAAGGAUGAAUGCCCUAUGGGUUGUAAACUUCUUUUAAACGGGAAAAAACCCCUCUACGUGUAGAGGGCUGAUGGUACCGUAAGAAUAAGGAUCGGCUAACUUCGUGCCAGCAGCCGCGGUAAUACGAAGGAUUCGAGCGUUAUCCGGAUUUAUUGGGUUUAAAGGGUGCGUAGGUGGAUUAGUAAGUCAGUGGUGAAAGCCCGCAGCUUAACUGCGGAACUGCCAUUGAUACUGCUAAUCUUGAGUACAGUUGAGGUGGGCGGAAUGUGUCAUGUAGCGGUGAAAUGCUUAGAUAUGACACAGAACACCGAUUGCGAAGGCAGCUCACUAAGCUGUAACUGACACUGAGGC
RNAcentral lists this ribosomal RNA (400 nucleotides) under uncultured bacterium. RNAcentral's name for it is "bacterial SSU rRNA". It matches the Rfam family "Bacterial small subunit ribosomal RNA", at positions 355 to 752 of the family's 1533-position model. The record is from RNAcentral.